RNAcentral lists this transfer RNA (43 nucleotides) under Stipagrostis ciliata var. capensis. RNAcentral describes it as "partial tRNA-Phe". It matches the Rfam family "tRNA", at positions 1 to 41 of the family's 71-position model. Rfam says of the family: Transfer RNA (tRNA) molecules are approximately 80 nucleotides in length. Their secondary structure includes four short double-helical elements and three loops (D, anti-codon, and T loops). RNAcentral also lists the same sequence under 6 other names. Lineage: Eukaryota; Viridiplantae; Streptophyta; Magnoliopsida; Poales; Poaceae. The record is from RNAcentral.
GGUCAGGAUAGCUCAGUUGGUAGAGCAGAGGACUGAAAAUCCU